This 936-nucleotide long non-coding RNA is filed under the name Panax ginseng (ginseng). RNAcentral describes it as "long non-coding RNA (PGIN_LNC012733)". Lineage: Eukaryota; Viridiplantae; Streptophyta; Magnoliopsida; Apiales; Araliaceae. The record is from RNAcentral.
UCAAAUCCUCCUUGUAUAUUUGCUCAAGAGAUUCCUGCACUGUAGAGUCAACAACAUCAAUAGCAAAAAUAAAAUUAACAUUACCAAGAUACCUCUUAACUUUAUAUAUGCCGAACUGGACAUGUGCGUCGUCUAAUUCCACGUGUAAGGUCCCAUGGUGUUUAUCAUCGUGUGUUGUUGCUGGUACAAGGAAAGUAUCAUCAUCUAUGUCCUCCUUAUAGAAAUCUGCAGGAAUUAUUAAUUCUUCCAUCUCUACCUCUUGUUCAUCAUUUUCAGAGUUUGAAUACCUGAUUCAAAUUUAGCAGUAGUCUCGUGCACAUCCAAAUGGUUUCCACUAGUGAACUCCUUCUCAUCUUUAAGUUCUUGUUCCUUAUUCGCCAUUUCUUCAAGGAAUUUUUCAUUAGACUUUGUAUACCACGUUGAAUUUUUUCCAACUUUCCAAUUCCUUGUUAGAACUUGGGGAAAAGGUAGUUUCGGUUCAUAGGCAAAAAGAGGUGGAAAUUUGUGCUUGAGUACAUCAUUGCUGCCUAUUUCACUAUUAUUGGACUUACUUUGUAUUGACUUUUCUUCCUGCUGAUCCUCUGCACCACAUCUCAAUGUUAUGGCACUUACAUUUUCAACAGUUUGAGAAAGUGACCUUCCUACUGUGGUUGCAAGCUGACCAACUUGGUCCCUCAGAUCUUGAACAGAAGUUCUUGUCUCCUACUGGAAUUGUUGUGUCUGACACAUGAACUUUUGUGUUUGGUUCAUGAAUGCCUUGAACAUAUCCUCCAUAAAUGCCCCAGAAUUGACAGGUACUUCUUGGUUUUUUGUGUGGUACUGAGGUUGAGCUUGCUGAAUAACUUGUGUAUUCCUUGCAGCCAUUUGUCGAACCAAAGCAGUUAAAUCAGAAAUCUGUUGCUCUAAGUCUCUCGUGCUUACCCCAUUUACCCUUUG